Molecule: ribosomal RNA, 883 nt
Filed under: Septogloeum oxysporum
Lineage: Eukaryota; Fungi; Ascomycota
Description: LSU rRNA
Rfam family: Eukaryotic large subunit ribosomal RNA
Source: RNAcentral
AGCAUAUCAAUAAGCGGAGGAAAAGAAACCAACAGGGAUUACCUCAGUAACGGCGAGUGAAGCGGUAACAGCUCAAAUUUGAAAGCUGGCUCUUUUAGGGUCCGCGUUGUAAUUUGUAGAAGAUGUUUCGGGUGUGGCCCCGGUCUAAGUUCCUUGGAACAGGACGUCAUAGAGGGUGAGAAUCCCGUAUGUGACUGGGUGCUUUCGCUCAUGUGAAACUCUUUCGACGAGUCGAGUUGUUUGGGAAUGCAGCUCAAAAUGGGUGGUAAAUUUCAUCUAAAGCUAAAUAUUGGCCAGAGACCGAUAGCGCACAAGUAGAGUGAUCGAAAGAUGAAAAGCACUUUGGAAAGAGAGUUAAACAGUACGUGAAAUUGUUGAAAGGGAAGCGCUUGCAACCAGACUUGCGCGCUGAUGAUCAUCCGGGCUUCUGCCCGGUGCACUCGUCUGCGCUCAGGCCAGCAUCGGUUUCGGUGGUGGGAUAAAGGCCUUGGGAAUGUAGCUCCUCUCGGGGAGUGUUAUAGCCCUCGGUGCAAUGCCGCCUACCGGGACCGAGGACCGCGCUUCGGCUAGGAUGCUGGCGUAAUGGUUGUAAGCGACCCGUCUUGAAACACGGACCAAGGAGUCUAACAUCUAUGCGAGUGUUUGGGUGUCAAACCCAUACGCGUAAUGAAAGUGAACGGAGGUGAGAACCCUUAAGGGUGCAUCAUCGACCGGUCCUGAUGUCUUCGGAUGGAUCUGAGUAAGAGCAUAGCUGUUGGGACCCGAAAGAUGGUGAACUAUGCGUGAAUAGGGUGAAGCCAGAGGAAACUCUGGUGGAGGCUCGCAGCGGUUCUGACGUGCAAAUCGAUCGUCAAAUUUGCGUAUAGGGCGAAAGACUAAUCGA